Molecule: small RNA, 126 nt
Filed under: Klebsiella oxytoca
Lineage: Bacteria; Pseudomonadati; Pseudomonadota; Gammaproteobacteria; Enterobacterales; Enterobacteriaceae
Also listed under: 4 other names
Description: RtT sRNA
Rfam family: RtT RNA
About the family: This family represents a bacterial cis-regulatory element known as RtT RNA.
Source: RNAcentral
UUGCUAUCUGCGAUAUCCAAGAUUCGAACCUGCCGCAGGUUUGAGUCGAACGAAGAGAGACAACGGAGCCGCCUGCGGCGACGGCCCAAAGGGCGAGCGAAGCGAGUCAUCCUGCACGACCCACCA